GCCAGGCAUGGUGACACAUGUCUGUGGUCCCAGCUACUUGGGAGGCUGAGGCAGGAGGAUUGCUUGAGCCCAGGAGGUUGAGGCUGCAGUGAACUGUGAUGGCACUACUGCAUUCCAGCCUGGGCAACAGAGCGAGACCCUGUCUCUA
Pan troglodytes (chimpanzee) is the source of this 148-nucleotide non-coding RNA. It matches the Rfam family "Metazoan signal recognition particle RNA". From Rfam's summary of the family: The signal recognition particle (SRP) is a universally conserved ribonucleoprotein. It is involved in the co-translational targeting of proteins to membranes. Lineage: Eukaryota; Metazoa; Chordata; Mammalia; Primates; Hominidae. The record is from Rfam.